UUAUGAGUGCUGCUAUUUACUGUUUUAUGUAGUUAGCAGUAUGGGUCAGGCUCUUCUGUCGCACCUGUAACUCUGUGUGAAGAAACAGCCUGCAUGGGAGUGUGUGUGCUUGUUAUUUCUUCAGGGCAAUGGAGAUGAACUGUAAUGCAAAGAAGCACAGUGAAAAGCUAAAGAGAAACAGGGGCUAGUUAUGGCAGGGUGGAAGUGAGAAGAUGCGUCUGAAUCAGUUGCUCUUGUGAGAGUGAAGAUAGUGCCUCAGUCUGCAUGCACUGCUGCAAGGAGAAGGGAUGGAGCACACACACAGACACUGCUAUGGCUGUCUGGGGUAGUAGAAGCUUUGGGCCAGGCUGUGGAAUGUGUAGGCUGAAAGAGUGCAGGUCUGAGUCCCCUCAGCUGCAGCAGGAGUAUCGAGCUCUGCCCCUGAGCUGGCAAGUCAGCAUCUCCUGCUCUGCAGAGCAGGGAGUAACUCUGACUAAGGUGAGCAGAAUCUGCCAAAGAAGAGGAUGGUUUUGGAUUUGUUGUGUCUGAUGAAGAAGAGGAAAGGGUGCUCGGCUUUAAAAGUUACUGUGGGUGUUCUUGACCUCAAUACCAGGACGCCUGUAGCAGCUGCUGCCUCAGUACCUUCUUCAGUGACCUCUGCGAAAGUUUUGUGAAUAACUUUUGAUAUGAAGAGGUUCUUCUUCACUGACAUCCUUGUGAAAUCAGCCUGAACAGGGUCAAGAGCAUUUUGUAUCCCCAUGUUGCACAAAGUGGAUGUAAGAUCGUAAUUUUCUUCCAUCUUCAACUUGGGCAGAACAUGCACAUCAGCCCACAGAGGAGCGAGGAAGAGAGUCAGAAAUGUCUGCAAGAACUAGGGGGAUGGAGCAUUUAUGGCAUACAGCCACCCAACACUUCAGCAGUGAAACAGGUCUGAUAGAUACCAUUCUUCUUCUUUUUGGUCUCCCCCGAGAAGGUCUGGCCACAGAAGAGCUUUCAGCUCCAGCGGCUUCAGUGAAAUGAAGAACCUGCAAACAGUUUACAAAGGGGAAACACAUCUGCCAAAGAGGAGAAUGGCGUUGGUUUCGAUGUGCUUGACACAGAAGAGGAAUGGAUGGUCAGCCCUAAAUUCUUCAGUAGCAUCCACUCCAGCCUCUGCUGAGCCUACCACAUCUCUGCCCGCUUCAUUGAUUUCUGCAUAUGCUGCAUGGACAGCUUGAGAUAUCUUCAGGCUCCCUACUGAGGAGAUGCCAGACAGAUUGGCUGAAGAGCUGAACAGGAGUUAAUGAGCUGUCUGGCUUGGUCUGAUGCUGUUUUGAAGUUCACUGUUUCCAGACCUGAUCUGUACAGUUUCUUCACACAUUUCAGGGCCAUCUUUUUUCCCUGGAAAUGCUUUCUGUGAAGGCUGUUGUCACAGCUGCUGCAGAGAAAAAAGAUGUAGAAGUCCACACCACUGAGGCUUUGAAAGUCUGAAGAUUGAAUGGACUUCAAUUAGCAGUUCAGGCCCGACUGGCAGCAGCUCGGGCGUCCUGGUGGUCAAGCUGGUGGCGGAUCGUGGGACCGUAGAGGGCUGCAGCGGUGCUGAUGAGCCUUCUUACGAAGGCUGGUGCUGGUGCUCAGCUGCAGCGCCUGCACCAAGGCCUCCUCGUCCAGACCAUGUUGACAAAGGAAGUUCACCGUGUCAUUUUUGAAGAUAAAAAGUGACUUAGUGUGCGUGAUGUUUGUAUAAUAAUACCAGUUAAUCACAAUUAAUAAGGAGCAGGUAUAAGAAUGGAUGAUAAAUGGAUUAAUACUGUUAGUAAUUAUGUUGUUCAUACUACACAACACACAACUGAAAAGAACCAGCUGUUGAAUGUACACAGUUGCUACUUCCUUUAAAACAGCGAGGUAAUGUCAGAAAGAAACCUGUAAAUGAGUUAAAGGAGCUAUUGGAGUGAGUCCAGGGGAGAACCAUGAUCAGGGGGCUGGAGCACCUCUCUUAUGAAGAAAGAUGGAGGGAGUUGGGCUUGUUCAGUUUGGAGAAAGCACUGGGAAAGUCUCAUUGCAGCCUUCCAGUACUUGUAGAGAGCUUAAAACAGGAGGGGGAAUUAACUUUUAGAAUAGUUCAGUAGUGGUACAACAAGGAGGAUGGUUUUAAACUAAAAGAGAGAGAAUUUAGGUUAGAUGUUGGAAGGAAACAAUUUACUCAUUGAGUGGUGAGGCGCUGACACAGCUGCCUGGAGAAGCUGGUCACAUUCAGUGUCUGGAUGACAACCGAGCUCAGUGGACGUCAAGUUGUGUUCUGCUGAGACUAUACAUUUUUUG
Molecule: non-coding RNA, 2280 nt
Organism: Coturnix japonica (Japanese quail)
Lineage: Eukaryota; Metazoa; Chordata; Aves; Galliformes; Phasianidae
Source: RefSeq, a predicted model, not a curated record